This 600-nucleotide ribosomal RNA is filed under the name uncultured bacterium. RNAcentral describes it as "bacterial SSU rRNA". It matches the Rfam family "Bacterial small subunit ribosomal RNA", at positions 69 to 669 of the family's 1533-position model. The record is from RNAcentral.
GCAUUCUGUAGCAAUACAGGGUGUGGGCGCGUGGCGAACGGGUGCGUAACACGUGGAUAACCUUCCUUCAGGUGGGGAAUAACCCAGUGAAAAUUGGGCUAAUACCGCAUAACAUGACGAUGCCACAUGGUGUUGUCUUCAAAGCCGCAAGGCGCCAGAAGAGGGAUCCGCGGCCGAUUAGCUUGUUGGCGAGGUAAUGGCUCACCAAGGCUUUGAUCGGUAGCCGGACUGAGAGGUUGGCCGGCCACACUGGAACUGAGACACGGUCCAGACUCCUACGGGAGGCAGCAGUGGGGAAUCUUGCACAAUGGACGAAAGUCUGAUGCAGCAACGCCGCGUGGGGGAUGAAGCUUUUCGGAGUGUAAACCCCUUUCGACCCGGAAGAAUGCCCGCAAGGGUUUGACGGUACGGGUAUAAGAAGCCCCGGCUAACUACGUGCCAGCAGCCGCGGUAAUACGUAGGGGGCCAGCGUUGCUCGGAAUAACUGGGCGUAAAGGGUCCGUAGGCGGUGCGGCAAGUUGGGAGUGAAAUCUCUGGGCUUAACCCAGAGGCUGCUUUCAAAACUGCCGUGCUAGAGUGCGGGAGAGGCGAGUGGAAUUG